RNAcentral lists this small nuclear RNA (102 nucleotides) under Olea europaea subsp. europaea. Lineage: Eukaryota; Viridiplantae; Streptophyta; Magnoliopsida; Lamiales; Oleaceae. The record is from RNAcentral.
UUUCAAGAUUGCACAUCCGAUAAAAUUGGAAUGAUACAGAGAAGAUUAGCAUGCCUAUGUGCAAGGAUGACACGCACAAAUUGAGAAAUGGUCCAAAAUUAU